UACGUAGGGUGCAAGCGUUGUCCGGAAUUAUUGGGCGUAAAGAGCUCGUAGGCGGUCUGUCGCGUCUGCUGUGAAAAUCCAGGGCUCAACCCUGGACCUGCAGUGGGUACGGGCAGACUAGAGUGCGGUAGGGGAGAUCGGAAUUCCUGGUGUAGCGGUGAAAUGCGCAGAUAUUGGGAGGAACACCAGUGGCGAAGGCGGCUACCUGGACCGGUUCUGACGCUGAGGCGCGAAAGCGUGGGUAGCAAACAGG
This 253-nucleotide ribosomal RNA is filed under the name uncultured bacterium. RNAcentral describes it as "partial 16S ribosomal RNA". It matches the Rfam family "Bacterial small subunit ribosomal RNA", at positions 524 to 776 of the family's 1533-position model. The record is from RNAcentral.